This 272-nucleotide ribosomal RNA is filed under the name uncultured bacterium. RNAcentral describes it as "partial 16S ribosomal RNA". It matches the Rfam family "Bacterial small subunit ribosomal RNA", at positions 524 to 796 of the family's 1533-position model. The record is from RNAcentral.
UACGUAGGUGGCAAGCGUUGUCCGGAAUUAUUGGGCGUAAAGCGCGCGCAGGCGGUCUCUUAGUCUAUGUGAAAGCCCCCCGGCUCAACCGGGGAGGGUCAUUGGAAACUGGGAGACUUGAGGACAGAAGAGGAGAGUGGAAUUCCAAGUGUAGCGGUGAAAUGCGUAGAUAUUUGGAGGAACACCAGUGGCGAAGGCGGCUCUCUGGUCUGUUACUGACGCUGAGGCGCGAAAGCGUGGGGAGCAAACAGGAUUAGAUACCCGGGUAGUCC